UCCUACGGGAGGCAGCAGAGGGGAAUAUUGGACAAUGGACCAAGAGUCUGAUCCAGCAAUUCUGUAUGCACGAUGACAUUUUUCGGAAUGUAAAGUGCUUUCAGUUGGGAAGAAAAAAAUGACGGUACCAACAGAAGAAGUGACGGCUAAAUACGUGCCAGCAGCCGCGGUAAUACGUAUGUCACAAGCGUUAUCCGGAUUUAUUGGGCGUAAAGCGCGUCUAGGUGGUUAUGUAAGUCUGAUGUGAAAAUGCAGGGCUCAACUCUGUAUUGCGUUGGAAACUGUGUAACUAGAGUACUGGAGAGGUAAGCGAAACUACAAGUGUAGAGGUGAAAUUCGUAGAUAUUUGUAGGAAUGCCGAUGGGGAAGCCAGCUUACUGGACAGAUACUGACGCUAAAGCGCGAAAGCGUGGGUAGCAAACAGGAUUAGAUACCCUGGUAGUCCACGCCGUAAACGAUGGUUACUAGGUGUUGGGGGUCGAACCUCAGCGCCCAAGCAAACGCGAUAAGUAAUCCGCCUGGGGAGUACGUACGCAAGUAUGAAACUCAAAUGAAUUGACGGA
This 563-nucleotide ribosomal RNA is filed under the name uncultured bacterium. Its description in RNAcentral is "bacterial SSU rRNA". It matches the Rfam family "Bacterial small subunit ribosomal RNA", at positions 337 to 917 of the family's 1533-position model. The record is from RNAcentral.